RNAcentral lists this ribosomal RNA (429 nucleotides) under Chloroflexota bacterium. RNAcentral describes it as "Chloroflexi bacterium partial 16S ribosomal RNA". It matches the Rfam family "Bacterial small subunit ribosomal RNA", at positions 355 to 776 of the family's 1533-position model. The record is from RNAcentral. Lineage: Bacteria; Bacillati; Chloroflexota.
UGGGGAAUCUUGCACAAUGGGCGCAAGCCUGAUGCAGCCAUGCCGCGUGUAUGAAGAAGGCCCUCGGGUUGUAAAGUACUUUCAGCGGGGAGGAAGGGAGUAAAGUUAAUACCUUUGCUCAUUGACGUUACCCGCAGAAGAAGCACCGGCUAACUCCGUGCCAGCAGCCGCGGUAAUACGGAGGGUGCAAGCGUUAAUCGGAAUUACUGGGCGUAAAGCGCACGCAGGCGGUUUGUUAAGUCAGAUGUGAAAUCCCCGGGCUCAACCUGGGAACUGCAUCUGAUACUGGCAAGCUUGAGUCUCGUAGAGGGGGGUAGAAGUCCAGGUGUAGCGGUGAAAUGCGUAGAGAUCUGGAGGAAUACCGGUGGCGAAGGCGGCCCCCUGGACGAAGACUGACGCUCAGGUGCGAAAGCGUGGGGAGCAAACAGG